UUCGCAAUGCCCGAAAGGGUGACGAAGCGACGCCGCGUGCGGGAAGAAGGCCUUCGGGUAGUAAACCGCUGUCGGGAGUUAAGAAAUGCAGAGAUGUUAAUAGCGUCUUUGCUUGACUAAAGCUCCGGAGGAAGCCACGGCUAACUCUGUGCCAGCAGCCGCGGUAAUACAGAGGCGGCAAGCGUUGUUCGGAAUUAUUGGGCGUAAAGAGCACGUAGGCGGCUAUGUAAGUCGGUUGUGAAAGCCUUCCGCUCAACGGGAGAACAGCAUCCGAUACUGCAUGGCUUGAGUGCGGGAGGGGAGAGUGGAACUUCUGGUGGAGCGGUGAAAUGCGUAGAUAUCAGAAGGAACGCCGGCGGCGAAAGCGGCUCUCUGGCCCAUAACUGACGCUGAGUGUGCGAAAGCUAGGGGAGCAAACGGGAUUAGAUACCCCGGUAGUCCUAGCCGUAAACGAUGGGCACUAAGUAGAGGGGUUUU
This 477-nucleotide ribosomal RNA is filed under the name uncultured anaerobic ammonium-oxidizing bacterium. RNAcentral describes it as "bacterial SSU rRNA". It matches the Rfam family "Bacterial small subunit ribosomal RNA", at positions 365 to 832 of the family's 1533-position model. The record is from RNAcentral.